AGUGGGUGCGAGCAUCUUUGUGGUCAAGUUAUGUAGGGCACAUGGUGGAUGUCUGGGCACUAGGGGCCGAUGAAGGACGUGGGAGGCUGCGAUAAGCCUCGGGGAGUUGUCAACCGAGCUGUGAUCCGAGGAUGUCCGAAUGGGGAAACCCGGCACCCGUGAUGGGGUGUCACCCGCCGGUGAAUAUAUAGUCGGUGUGGAGGGAACGCGGGGAAGUGAAACAUCUCAGUACCCGUAGGAAGAGAAAACACUAGUGAUUCCGUGAGUAGUGGCGAGCGAAAGCGGAGGAGGCUAAACCGCAUGCGUGUCAAGCUGUCAGGUGUUGCGUGUGUGGGGUUGUGAGACCCGUCGUCCAGGAGCUGACACUUCUGGCGCCAGAUCGCAUGGUUAGUGGAACACGUUGGGAUGCGUGGCCGUAGUGGGUGAGAGUCCCGUACGCGAAAACUGUGUGGGUGUGGUGUGGUGGUGUUCUCGAGUAGCAGCGUUUCCGUGGAGGGCGCUGUGAAUCUGCCGGGACCACUCGGUAAGCCUAAAUACUUCCUGGUGACCGAUAGCGGACGAGUACCGUGAGGGAAAGAUGAAAAGUACCCCGGGAGGGGAGUGAAAGAGUACCUGAAACCGUGUGCCUGCAAGCCGUCAGAGCCUUCGGGUGAUGGCGUGCCUUUUGAAGAAUGAGCCUGCGAGUUCGUGCUGCGUGGCGAGGUUAACCCGUGUGGGGUAGCCGUAGCGAAAGCGAGUCUGAAUAGGGCGUGUGAGUUGCGUGGUCGAGACCCGAAGCGGAGUGAUCUACCCAUGGCCAGGCUGAAGCGUCGGUAAGACGGUGUGGAGGGCCGAACCCACCAGGGUUGAAAACCUGGGGGAUGAGUUGUGGGUAGGGGUGAAAGGCCAAUCAAACUCCGUGAUAGCUGGUUCUCCCCGAAAUGCAUUUAGGUGCAGCGUCACAUGUUUCACUGUGGGGGUAGAGCUACUGGGUGGCUGAUGGGCCUGAUCGGGUUACUGACGUCAACCAAACUCCGAAUACCAUGGUGUGAGAGUGUGGCAGUGAGACAGCGGGGGAUAAGCUUCGUUGUCGAGAGGGAAACAGCCCAGAACUCCGGCUAAGGCCCCUAAGUGUGUGCUUAGUGGAAAAGGAUGUGGAAUUGCCCAGACAACCAGGAGGUUGGCUUAGAAGCAGCCAUCCUUGAAAGAGUGCGUAAUAGCUCACUGGUCAAGUGGUUCUGCGCCGAUAAUGUAGCGGGGCUGAAGUACACCGCCGAAGCCGAGUCACUGCAACAACUGCUAACGCGGGUUGUGGUGGGUAGGGGAGCGUCCUGGGCCCGGUGAAGCCGUGACGGAAGUUAACGGUGGAGGGUGUGGGAGUGAGAAUGCAGGCAUGAGUAGCGAAUGUACAGUGAGAAUCUGUACCGCCGGAUGACCAAGGGUUCCUGGGCCAGGUUGUUCCGCCCAGGGUGAGUCGGGACCUAAGGCGAGGCCGUCAGGCGUAGUCGAUGGAUAACGGGUUGAUAUUCCCGUACCCGCGUGUGUGCGUCCAUAGCGAGGCGAGGGAUACUAACCACCUGAAGCCGCAUCGUGUUCUUCGGAAGAUGGUGUUGGUGGAGCGUGGGGCCUGAUCUUGUAGUAGUUAAGUGAUGGGGUGACGCAGGAAGGUAGCUCCGCCAGUGAGUGGUUGUACUGGUGUAAGCGUGUGGCCCGCAGGAUAGGCAAAUCCGUUCUGCAUGAGGGUGAGGCGUGAUGCGUAGCCGUUGUGGUGAAGUAGAGUGAUCCUAUGCUGUCGAGAAAAGCCUCUAGCGAGUGCGUGCGUGGCCCGUACCCUAAACCGACACAGGUGGUCAGGUAGAGAAUACUAAGGCGAUCGGGUGAACUAUGGUUAAGGAACUCGGCAAAUUGCCCCCGUAACUUCGGGAGAAGGGGGGCCAAGCCUGCUGAAACCCUUUUCGGGUUAGGUGGGAGUGGCCGCAGAGACCAGCGGAAAGCGACUGUUUACUAAAAACACAGGUCCAUGCGAAGACGCAAGUCGAUGUAUAUGGACUGACGCCUGCCCGGUGCUGGAACGUUAAGAGGACCGGUUAACCGUUUCGACGGUGAAGCUGAGAAUUUAAGCGCCAGUAAACGGCGGUGGUAACUAUAACCAUCCUAAGGUAGCGAAAUUCCUUGUCGGGUAAGUUCCGACCUGCACGAAUGGCGUAACGACUUUCCGGCUGUCUCAACCAUAGGCCCGGCGAAAUUGCACUACGAGUAAAGAUGCUCGUUUCGCGCGGCAGGACGGAAAGACCCCGGGACCUUUACUAUAGCUUGGUAUUGGUUUUCGGUUCGGCUUGUGUAGGAUAGGUGGGAGACUGUGAAGCUGACACGCUAGUGUUGGUGGAGUCGUUGUUGAAAUACCACUCUGGUCGUGCUGGGAAUCUAACUUCGGACCAUGAUCUGGUUCAGGGACAGUGCCUGGUGGGUAGUUUAACUGGGGCGGUUGCCUCCUAAAGGGUAACGGAGGCGCCCAAAGGUUCCCUCAGCUUGGUUGGUAAUCAGGUGUUGAGUGUAAGUGCACAAGGGAGCUUGACUGUGAGACUGACGGGUCGAGCAGGGACGAAAGUCGGGACUAGUGAUCCGGCACCUCCUGGUGGAAGGGGUGUCGCUCAACGGAUAAAAGGUACCCCGGGGAUAACAGGCUGAUCUUGCCCAAGAGUCCAUAUCGACGGCAUGGUUUGGCACCUCGAUGUCGGCUCGUCGCAUCCUGGGGCUGGAGUUGGUCCCAAGGGUUGGGCUGUUCGCCCAUUAAAGCGGCACGCGAGCUGGGUUUAGAACGUCGUGAGACAGUUCGGUCCCUAUCCGCCGCGCGCGUAGGAGACUUGCGGAAGGCUGUCCCUAGUACGAGAGGACCGGGACGGACGAACCUCUGGUAUGCCAGUUGUCCCGCCAGGGGCAUGGCUGGUUGGCUACGUUCGGAAGGGAUAACCGCUGAAGGCAUCUAAGCGGGAAGCCUGUUCCUAGAUGAGGUCUCCCACCCCGUUGUGGGUUAAGGCCCCCAAGAGAUGAUUGGGUUGAUAGGCCAGACAUGGAAGCGCAGUAAUGUGUGUUUGAGUGGACUGGUACUAAUCGGCCGAGGACUUGCCUACAA
Molecule: ribosomal RNA, 3112 nt
Filed under: Saccharomonospora sp. CUA-673
Lineage: Bacteria; Bacillati; Actinomycetota; Actinomycetes; Pseudonocardiales; Pseudonocardiaceae
Description: bacterial LSU rRNA
Rfam family: Bacterial large subunit ribosomal RNA
Source: RNAcentral